GAGUUUGAUCCUGGCUCAGAUUGAACGCUGGCGGCAGGCCUAACACAUGCAAGUCGAACGGUAACAGGAAACAGCUUGCUGUUUCGCUGACGAGUGGCGGACGGGUGAGUAAUGUCUGGGAAACUGCCUGAUGGAGGGGGAUAACUACUGGAAACGGUAGCUAAUACCGCAUAACGUCGCAAGACCAAAGAGGGGGACCUUCGGGCCUCUUGCCAUCGGAUGUGCCCAGAUGGGAUUAGCUAGUAGGUGGGGUAACGGCUCACCUAGGCGACGAUCCCUAGCUGGUCUGAGAGGAUGACCAGCCACACUGGAACUGAGACACGGUCCAGACUCCUACGGGAGGCAGCAGUGGGAAUAUUGCACAAUGGGCGCAAGCCUGAUGCAGCCAUGCCGCGUGUAUGAAGAAGGCCUCGGUUGUAAGUAC
Molecule: ribosomal RNA, 424 nt
Filed under: uncultured microorganism
Description: bacterial SSU rRNA
Rfam family: Bacterial small subunit ribosomal RNA
Source: RNAcentral